This is a long non-coding RNA of Sinocyclocheilus rhinocerous, 341 nucleotides long. RefSeq lists it as uncharacterized. The transcript has 3 exons. NCBI's taxonomy places the organism in Eukaryota, Metazoa, Chordata, Actinopteri, Cypriniformes, Cyprinidae. The record is from RefSeq and is a predicted model, not a curated record.
UCAUUUCUGCAAGAUAAUGACUGCGAAUAGAGUAAGAAGAAAAAUGCCACCUGGGAUGGUGAAUAUCCGCGAGUUUAACAAGGAGAACUUCAAAUCCUGUGGGCUCCAGUUAAUUUCUCAUGUAAUGAAAGAAUUUAAAAAAGAGCAAAACAAACUAAGAACUCAUGUGAAUGAGAUUCUCCACAGCAUCUUCUUUUUAGGGAUCAUUCAUAAGGACAGUCUCACUCCCGAAGACAUUAUACCUGAAAAGAUUGCUGAGAUUACAAGACAGGAAUUUCCAGAACCAUUUAAGAAAUACAAGAGUCAUCUACCUAAGCGGACACCUUUCUCAAUACUGUUAG